UCCGGCGUCCGUCGUCGUGCACUUCUCACCUAGUAGGAUGUCGCGACCCGCUGGGUGUCGGUCUACGGCCCGGGUGGUAAGACUGACGCGUCGCCGGUAAAACGGCACGCGGCAAACCCCCGGUCGCCCGACCGGUUGCCCGGCAGUAUACGAAACGGUACCAGGCCGCGCCACGCGCGCGUCGAGCCCGUCGCAAGCGAGCGCCAUUGCACCCGGAGGUACGGACCCAGCGCCGUCCCCGGUCCUGGUCCGCUGUUAGCUGUACGGUGUAACCUUCGACAGGCCUUGCCCUCGCGGCCCCGCGCCGCGAGUCUACCGGUCGGCGACGCUACUGCUUUGGAUACUCUUAGGACCCGUCUUG
This 361-nucleotide ribosomal RNA is filed under the name Ooceraea biroi (clonal raider ant). RNAcentral's name for it is "partial 28S ribosomal RNA". The record is from RNAcentral. Lineage: Eukaryota; Metazoa; Arthropoda; Insecta; Hymenoptera; Formicidae.